UGGCGGACGGGUGAGUAAUGUCUGGGAAACUGCCCGAUGGAGGGGGAUAACUACUGGAAACGGUAGCUAAUACCGCAUAACGUCGCAAGACCAAAGAGGGGACCUUCGGGCCUCUUGCCAUCGGAUGUGCCCAGAUGGGAUUAGCUAGUAGGUGGGGUAAAGGCUCACCUAGGCGACGAUCCCUAGCUGGUCUGAGAGGAUGACCAGCCACACUGGAACUGAGACACGGUCCAG
Molecule: ribosomal RNA, 234 nt
Filed under: uncultured bacterium
Lineage: Bacteria
Description: partial 16S ribosomal RNA
Rfam family: Bacterial small subunit ribosomal RNA
Source: RNAcentral